This 916-nucleotide ribosomal RNA is filed under the name uncultured Planctomycetota bacterium. RNAcentral's name for it is "bacterial SSU rRNA". It matches the Rfam family "Bacterial small subunit ribosomal RNA", at positions 8 to 916 of the family's 1533-position model. The record is from RNAcentral. Lineage: Bacteria; Pseudomonadati; Planctomycetota.
AGAGUUUGAUCCUGGCUCAGAUUGAACGCUGGCGGAAUGCUUUACACAUGCAAGUCGAACGGCAGCACGGGAGCUUGCUCCUGGUGGCGAGUGGCGAACGGGUGAGUAAUAUAUCGGAACGUACCCAGACGUGGGGGAUAACUAGUCGAAAGACUAGCUAAUACCGCAUACGUCCUGAGGGAGAAAGCGGGGGAUCGCAAGACCUCGCGCGUUUGGAGCGGCCGAUAUCUGACUAGCUAGAUGGUGAGGUAAAGGCUCACCAUGGCGACGAUCAGUAGCUGGUCUGAAAGGAUGAUCAGCCACACUGGAACUGAGACACGGUCCAGACUCCUACGGGAGGCAGCAGUGGGGAAUUUUGGACAAUGGGCGAAAGCCUGAUCCAGCCAUUCCGCGUGAGUGAGGAAGGCCUUCGGGUUGUAAAGCUCUUUCGGCAGGAACGAAACGGUGGUUUCUAAUACAAACUACUAAUGACGGUACCUGAAGAAGAAGCACCGGCUAACUACGUGCCAGCAGCCGCGGUAAUACGUAGGGUGCGAGCGUUAAUCGGAAUUACUGGGCGUAAAGCGUGCGCAGGCGGUGACCCAAGUCGGAUGUGAAAUCCCCGGGCUUAACCUGGGAACUGCAUUUGAAACUAGGUCGCUAGAGUAUGGCAGAGGGGGGUAGAAUUCCACGUAUAGCAGUGAAAUGCGUAGAGAUGUGGAGGAAUACCGAUGGCGAAGGCAGCCCCCUGGGUCAAUACUGACGCUCAUGCACGAAAGCGUGGGGAGCAAACAGGAUUAGAUACCCUGGUAGUCCACGCCCUAAACGAUGUCAACUAGUUGUCGGAGGGGGAGACCUCUUUGGUAACGCAGCUAACGCGUGAAGUUGACCGCCUGGGGAGUACGGUCGCAAGAUUAAAACUCAAAGGAAUUGACGG